RNAcentral lists this transfer RNA (88 nucleotides) under Orcaella heinsohni (Australian snubfin dolphin). RNAcentral describes it as "tRNA-Ser". Lineage: Eukaryota; Metazoa; Chordata; Mammalia; Artiodactyla; Delphinidae. The record is from RNAcentral.
AAAAAGAAUUGCAAGAACUGCUAAUUCAUGCACUCCAUACUUAACAAUGUGGCUUUUUCAAGCUUUUAAAGGAUAGUAGUUAUCCAUU